CCUGCAGCCUCGUACAUAAGAAAGCAAGCAACAGCUCCACCUUCCAACUACAGAGGGCCAUUUGCAGCUACAGCCUCUCAAUGAAAAUGUCUCACAUGAUGAUUUGACUUUUAACAACAUUUAUCGUACAAUUGAACUGUGUUUUGACCUUUUGACCUUUCACAGUCCCUCAGUACCAGCAGCUCCACUCACAGCCUGAAGCCUCUUCUUACCAAACCCCACCUGCUCCUUCCACCCUCAGCCUCCACCUGCAACCUCCAACAGCACCGCCUCAUCCUCCACCUGAAGACCUCAGUACCCACAUCCAGCUGAAGAGCCUUUUGUAAACCAGCCUCUGCUCCAGCUGCCUCCUGCUCCUUCCAGUCUCAUCCCCAGCCUCCACCUAAAGCCUCUGCAGGCCUGCUGCCCCUGUAGCCACUGCCUACAGCCUGUGGCAGUCACCCUAAGCCUCCACCUGCAGCUACUGCAUCAGCUGAGCCCUCUGUAUGCAAGUCCCGUUCACCAACUGCAGCCUCCGCCUCCACCUCUUCCUACCAGCUACAGCCACAGCCUCCACCUGCCUGACAGCUACCUGCCUCCUCAGCCACAGCAGCAAUCCCCAGCCUCCACCUGCAGCUACUGCCUGUAAGUUGCAGCCUAAGGCCUUCCCUUUAAGGAGAAGAGCGAAAUUCAUUUGUGUAAGACAAAGGAUAACAGACACACAAGGCAACAUGAAAAAAGUCAAAUAAAAUAAACAAGUUAAUGUAGGAUAAAAGACGAAGUAGCAGAAUAAAAGUUACAGCACAGCUACAGUGAAGCUAAAGACAGUAGCUUAAUCCUUUAUCUGAUCUUUUAGGGCUUCAGUCUCAGCCACAGCCCCCAUGUGCAGCUUCAGGAUCAGCGUCAC
This is a long non-coding RNA of Seriola aureovittata, 886 nucleotides long. RefSeq lists it as uncharacterized. The record is from RefSeq and is a predicted model, not a curated record. The transcript is spliced from 3 exons. Lineage: Eukaryota; Metazoa; Chordata; Actinopteri; Carangiformes; Carangidae.